Molecule: ribosomal RNA, 253 nt
Filed under: uncultured bacterium
Lineage: Bacteria
Description: partial 16S ribosomal RNA
Rfam family: Bacterial small subunit ribosomal RNA
Source: RNAcentral
UACGGGGGGGGCAAGCGUUGUUCGGAAUUACUGGGCGUAAAGGGCUCGUAGGCGGCCAACUAAGUCAGACGUGAAAUCCCCCGGCUUAACCGGGGAACUGCGUCUGAUACUGGAUGGCUUGAGUUCGGGAGAGGGAUGCGGAAUUCCAGGUGUAGCGGUGAAAUGCGCAGAUAUCAGGAGGAACACCGAUGGCGAAGGCAGGUCUCUGGGCCAUAACUGACGCUGAGAAGCGAAAGCAUGGGGAGCGAACAGG